RNAcentral lists this ribosomal RNA (481 nucleotides) under uncultured bacterium. Its description in RNAcentral is "partial 16S ribosomal RNA". It matches the Rfam family "Bacterial small subunit ribosomal RNA", at positions 28 to 507 of the family's 1533-position model. The record is from RNAcentral.
GAUGAACGCUGGCGGCGUGCCUAACACAUGCAAGUCGAACGGAGAUUCCGGACGGACGUUUUCGGAUGGAAGCCUGUAAUUCUUAGUGGCGGACGGGUGAGUAACGCGUGGGCAACCUGCCCUAUACAGGGGGAUAGCAGCUGGAAACGGCUGGUAAGACCGCAUAAGUCGGUUAAAUCGCAUGAUUUGAUCGGGAAAUGAGCAAUCAGGUAUAGGAUGGGCCCGCGUCCGAUUAGCCAGUUGGCAGGGUAAAAGCCUACCAAAGCGACGAUCGGUAGCCGGACUGAGAGGUCGGACGGCCACAUUGGGACUGAGACACGGCCCAAACUCCUACGGGAGGCAGCAGUGGGGGAUAUUGCACAAUGGAGGAAACUCUGAUGCAGCGACGCCGCGUGAGUGAAGAAGUAUUUCGGUAUGUAAAGCUCUAUCAGCAGGGAAGAUGAUGACGGUACCUGACUAAGAAGCCCCGGCUAACUACGUA